AGUGAACGCUGGCGGUAGGCCUAACACAUGCAAGUCGAACGGCAGCACAGUAAGAGCUUGCUCUUACGGGUGGCGAGUGGCGGACGGGUGAGGAAUACAUCGGAAUCUACUUUUUCGUGGGGGAUAACGUAGGGAAACUUACGCUACUACCGCAUACGACCUACGGGUGAAAGCAGGGGAUCUUCGGACCUUGCGCGAUUGAAUGAGCCGAUGUCGGAUUAGCUAGUUGGCGGGGUAAAGGCCCACCAAGGCGACGAUCCGUAGCUGGUCUGAGAGGAUGAUCAGCCACACUGGAACUGAGACACGGUCCAGACUCCUACGGGAGGAAGCAGUGGGGAAUAUUGGACAAUGGGCGCAAGCCUGAUCCAGCCAUACCGCGUGGGUGAAGAAGGCCUUCGGGUUGUAAAGCCCUUUUGUUGGGAAAGAAAAGCAGCAGGUUAAUACCCCGCUGUUCUGACGGUACCCAAAGAAUAAGCACCGGCUAACUUCGUG
This 492-nucleotide ribosomal RNA is filed under the name uncultured bacterium. RNAcentral's name for it is "partial 16S ribosomal RNA". It matches the Rfam family "Bacterial small subunit ribosomal RNA", at positions 29 to 507 of the family's 1533-position model. The record is from RNAcentral.